AACGUAGGACGCAAGCGUUAUCCGGAGUUACUGGGCGUAAAGCGCGGGCAGGCGGUCGGUCAAGUCUGAUGUGAAAUCUCUCCGCUCAACGGGGAGCAGCCAUUGGAAACUGGGCGACUGGAGUCUGACAGAGGUAGGCGGAAUUCCGGGUGGAGUGGUGAAAUGCGUAGAGAUCCGGAGGAACACCAGAGGCGAAGGCGGCCUACUGGGUCAGUACUGACGCUGAGCCGCGAAAGCCAGGGGAGCGAACGGG
RNAcentral lists this ribosomal RNA (253 nucleotides) under uncultured bacterium. Its description in RNAcentral is "partial 16S ribosomal RNA". It matches the Rfam family "Bacterial small subunit ribosomal RNA", at positions 524 to 776 of the family's 1533-position model. The record is from RNAcentral.